UCCUGGUUUCCCAGGCAGUCCCAUCAGAGUGCUCUACAAAGUAGUUAGCAACUGACAGCAAGGGUUGCGCUCGUUAGAGGACUUAACCUAACAUCUCACGACACGAGCUGACGACAGCCAUGCAGCACCUGUGCAUCUGUCUAAACCGAAGUCUAGAAAACCGUAUCUCUACGGCGAUCAGAGCAUGUCAAGUCCAGGUAAGGUUCCUCGCGUAGUGUCGAAUUAAACCACAUGUUCCACCGCUUGUGCGGACCCCCGUCAAUUCCUUUGAGUUUUAAUCUUGCGAUCGUAGUCCCCAGGCGAAUCACUUAACGCGUUAGCUUCGAUACUAAUCCAGCUUGGCCGGACUAACAUCUAGUGAUUAGCGUUUACAGCGUGGACUAC
RNAcentral lists this unclassified non-coding RNA (384 nucleotides) under uncultured bacterium. RNAcentral describes it as "contains 16S-23S intergenic spacer region". The record is from RNAcentral.